Molecule: transfer RNA, 65 nt
Filed under: Flavimaribacter sediminis
Lineage: Bacteria; Pseudomonadati; Pseudomonadota; Alphaproteobacteria; Hyphomicrobiales; Rhizobiaceae
Description: tRNA-Arg
Source: RNAcentral
AGAAACCCAAUUCCUUAGCCCUCCGAAGGCAGAGGUCACAGGUUCGAAUCCUGUCGGGUGCGCCA